CCCUUAGAUGUUCUGGGCUGCACGCGUGCUACACUGAUAUUGCCAAUAUGUCAUUCUUAUCCGAAAUGGAUUGGGUAAUCAAGUAAUGAAAUUUCAUGCUUGGAAUCGGUAAUUGCAAUUUUAUCGUGAACGAGGAAUUCCUAGUAAGCACUAGUCAUCAGCUAAUGUUGAUUAUGUCCCUGCCCUUUGUACACACCGCCCGUCGCUACUACCGAUUGAAUGGCUUAGUGAGCUGUGGGGACCGAGGUCUCUGUUGGGUUUCCUUCAGAGUAUCUUGCGGAACCACAUCAAACUUGAUCAUUUAGAGGGAGUAAAAGUCGUAACA
Molecule: ribosomal RNA, 325 nt
Filed under: uncultured eukaryote
Lineage: Eukaryota
Description: partial 18S ribosomal RNA
Rfam family: Eukaryotic small subunit ribosomal RNA
Source: RNAcentral